RNAcentral lists this ribosomal RNA (420 nucleotides) under bacterium. Its description in RNAcentral is "partial 16S ribosomal RNA". It matches the Rfam family "Bacterial small subunit ribosomal RNA", at positions 355 to 776 of the family's 1533-position model. The record is from RNAcentral.
UGGGGGAUAUUGCACAAUGGGCGAAAGCCUGAUGCAGCGACGCCGCGUGGGGGAUGAAGGCUUUCGGGUUGUAAACCUCUUUCGCUAUCGAACAAGGCCCGCUUAGGGUGGGUUGAGGGUAGGUGGAGACGAAGCGCCGGCUAACUACGUGCCAGCAGCCGCGGUAAUACGUAGGGCGCGAGCGUUGUCCGGAAUUAUUGGGCGUAAAGGGCUUGUAGGCGGCUUGUUGCGCCUGCUGUGAAAACGCGGGGCUUAACUUCGCGCGUGCAGUGGGUACGGGCAGGCUUGAGUGUGGUAGGGGUGACUGGAAUUCCAGGUGUAGCGGUGGAAUGCGCAGAUAUCUGGAGGAACACCGAUGGCGAAGGCAGGUCACUGGGCCAUUACUGACGCUGAGGAGCGAAAGCAUGGGUAGCGAACAGG